Molecule: long non-coding RNA, 1012 nt
Organism: Tachysurus vachellii
Lineage: Eukaryota; Metazoa; Chordata; Actinopteri; Siluriformes; Bagridae
Exons: 3
Source: RefSeq, a predicted model, not a curated record
CAGGAAACAGGUAGUGAAGAACAGGUAGUGAAGAACACUAGGCGUUAAAGGUUUAGACAACCUGAAGUGACUGAUACGAGAUGACAUAAAGACACGGCUGUGGAAUUUGCGACGGGGGUUUCAUGACACGCUGACAUGUUGAGAUUCUCACUGUGUGAGCAGCAGGUUGAGGAACAUCUUGGUCGUGAGGUGUCUGCCUGAGCUCCUCGUUCUCAUCCUGAUCUGAGGAGAAGCUGAUGUGUGCUGGAGAUCUCUGGAGUCUCGGGUGCCUUUCCACCAGCGACCGGCUCGAAACGAUCUGCAACGAACAAAGCACACACAUCCUCAACGAUACACAAUGAACAGAACUUUCCAAUGGGCAGAGGUCAGGGAGAGGGGUAAGUAGGUGAAUUAGUAAUUAGUAGGUGAAUCAGAGCUGAGUUUAGAGCUUCACUGAUUUAUAAACUCUUAUUAGUGAAAUGCUUCAAUUACUGAAGUAACGUUUACAAAAAAAAUCAAAAUAACUGGUCAAAAUGCAGCAGCCCACUAAAUCCACUGCUCCUUAUUUAGUCACCAUUAUAAACAACAUUGUAAUUAAAUGCCUUGAGUGUUUAAAGGGGUAAAUUAUGUGGAUUAUGGGGCACAGUUAUGAUCUGCUUACUUUCUGGCUUGGUGUCUUCUGGGUCUCUCUGGGUGGAGAACAAUCCACAGAUUUGGAGUCGGAGUGAGAGAGCUGCCUCCUCCUCAGCACACCAACACACUGUAACGUUACAUGUGCACUGACACUGAGCACCGCUUCAUCACAGUACGUACAAUGCAUCAGCGAUGUUACAUUAUGGAGCGACAGAAAAACAUAUAAGACGAAGCCGAUGAUGUCGCAGAGAAGAGCGAGCUUUCUUUCGGCGAAACCGAACUGCAGGAAUUGCUGCUUAGUUAACAGGGGUUUGUAACUGAAGAGAUCACGCAGGACCUAACACACACACACACACACACACACACACACUUUAAAAAAUCUAGCUAACAAAGUAAAAGC